UACGGAGGGUGCUAGCGUUGUUCGGAAUUACUGGGCGUAAAGCGCGCGUAGGCGGAGAUCCAAGUCGGGGGUGAAAUCCCGGGGCUCAACCCCGGAACUGCCUCCGAUACUGGUUCUCUGGAGGACGGGAGAGGCGAGUUGAAUGCCGAGUGUAGAGGUGAAAUUCGUAGAUAUUCGGCGGAACACCCGUGGCGAAGGCGGCUCGCUGGUCCGUUUCUGACGCUGAGGCGCGAAAGCGUGGGGAGCAAACAGG
This 253-nucleotide ribosomal RNA is filed under the name uncultured bacterium. Its description in RNAcentral is "partial 16S ribosomal RNA". It matches the Rfam family "Bacterial small subunit ribosomal RNA", at positions 524 to 776 of the family's 1533-position model. The record is from RNAcentral.